AGACCUCUCAGGCACCCACAACCAGCGCUGAUCGGGAUGGAGCACCAACCCCAUUCCAGGAAGAGGUCCAGUCUGCCCCGGGUCAGAACCACUUCUAUAGCAACUACACAAAUGUGUAUGCACCUAUCAUUAUUGAUAGCCAGUCUGAGCCAGAAGACAAAAUGGAGCAAACUGCAGAUGAUAGCACAGAAUACCUGACUGCGGAGGACAUUGUUGCAGAACUCUCUGUGUGUGUGUGUGGGAUGGAGCAACCGCGGCUUCAAACGGGCCUCAUUCGACCCCUCAUGAGAUGUCAGUUAAGUUCACUGAUGAUGAGGGACACACUGAGGAUGAGGGACACACUGAGGAUGGAGGGGACACACUGAGGAUGGAGGGG
This is a long non-coding RNA of Gymnodraco acuticeps, 376 nucleotides long. RefSeq lists it as uncharacterized. The transcript has 4 exons. The record is from RefSeq and is a predicted model, not a curated record. Lineage: Eukaryota; Metazoa; Chordata; Actinopteri; Perciformes; Bathydraconidae.